UGGGUAAAAGGAAAGGGGGAGAGGAGGAAGAUUAAGAUGGGCUAAAUUGGACGGGAGACUCGAAAGAGCGAAGAAGAGGCUUUAAGCUCGUGUUUCAAUGCGGAAACGCAAUGAAAAGAACUGAAAAAUGAAUCAUCUUAGUAUCAGCGUGGCACAGAGAAAUCAAACGAGAUUCCGUAAGUAGCAGGGAGCGAAAGCGGAAAAGUCCCAGAGGGGAAGUAAAUAGUGGAAGAAAGGAGUUCAUAUAUCUAAGACUAACUGUUGGUCCAUACUGAAAGCGCGAGUACUGUGAAGGAAAAUUGAAAGAGACUUGAAAAGAUCUGGAAUCCUGUUUUUUAAAGCAGCUGUGAGACAGCGUACCUUUUGUAUAAUGGGUUUAUGAGAUAUCGUUUGGCAAAUUUAAGUAAAAAGGAUAAAAGUGUAGAUGAAGAGAAGUCGAAGGGGCUUUUUAGUCAAAUUCCCCGAAACCAAGUGAUCUAACCAUGGGCAGUUUAAUGGACGAACCGGUGGUUGUAGCAAAAACCUCGGAGGACCCGUGGUUAGGGGGGAAAGCCUAAUCGGACUUGGAGAUAGCUGGUUUUUUGCGAAAACUAUUGAAGUAGGGCGUUCACACAGGGGCCACAGAUUGAGGCUAAAACAAAAAUGGAGGGGUGUUACGAUUGCAGAUGUCAAGUGACUGACUUUAUUUUUUCAAUCGACGCCCCAUUAAAAUUUUAGGGUAAAGAUCUAUCGCCUUAAGGGGGAUGGACUUUAAAGGUAAAAUUGGAAGUGGACAGACAGACAAGGGGCAAAUAGGUCCGUUGUUAAAGGGGGGGAGCCCAAAUUAGAAGUUAAAGUCAGAGAUUCAAUAAUUAAGUGUAAAAGGAACAUGGGAUUUAGACAAUGAGGAGGUAGGCUUGGAGCCAGCCAUCUUUGAAAGAAUGCGUAGAAGUUCACUCAGGAACUCUUUUCUCCCAAAAAUUAUGGUGGCUAAAAGUUGAACUGAAACUCUGGGGGCAGUAAGUAGUUUGCUUGGUAGUAGAACAGACUGUUGGGAGGUGGUGAGAACCCAAGAAUCAGAAGAGAAAAUGUGAACAUGAGUAAAAAAAUUGUUGCUUCAUCUCCCCGGGUUUCCAAGCCAAAGGCACCGAGCGAAGAGGCUUGGGUGAAACAGCCUCUAAGGGGGUUACCAAUGGGCGAUCGUAAUAAACGCACAAUGUGCCAGGAAAGAUUUAUAACAAAAGAUUACUGUCGCAAACUAACACAAGUGGGAGAUAGUGAGGGGGAAAGUUUUUUAAGGAACUCGGCUAGUCAUUAGCUUUCAUUAGAAGUUAAAACACAGGGCCUCGACUGUUUACCAAAAACAUAGCUCUUCGCUAAUAUGAGGGUAGAAGUAUGAGGGGUGAGACCUGCCCAAUGGUUGUAUCUUAAAAGGUUGGUAAGGCGAAUUUAACAAAGACAAUUUAAUGGCUGCGGUAACACUGACCGUGAAAAUGUAGCGAAAUAAAUAGUCAAUUAAUUGUUGACCGGUAUGAAUGGUGUCACGAGGGUCUCGCUGUCUUAAGGAAGUUUCCAGUGAAAUUGAACUUGUAGUGAAGAUGCUACAUCUAAAUUGUUAGACAAGAAGUCCCCAUGGAACUUUACUGGAGACUUAUGUGGCUGACUUAAAUAGUUUUAAAAUGUGGUGUGACUCAACUAGGGUUAGAAAAGCUCACUUUUUAUUUUAAGAAAGGCAACUUAAAAAUAUAUGUUUUUGGGAUUGGAUAAGUGAGACAGUUUGGUUGGGGCGACCGCCUUUAAAAAAGUAACGAAGGCGGACUUAAGAUGUAUGUUUAGUUAUGUCUGACUGCUAAGGGGAGACCCAGAGCAGACACUUGUCUUUGGAUGGUGGGUUUAAGUGACCCGUUAGCUCAGAGCGAAAGGGUUAACGAUAAACAAACAAAAGUUACCCUGGGGAUAACAGCGCAAUAACGUUUAAGAGUUUUUAUCGACGACGAUGUUUGCGACCUCGAUGUUGAAUUGCGGCAUCCUGGGGAGCAGCCGCUCCCAAGGGUUGGUCUGUUCGUCCAUUAAAGCCGUACAUGAUUUGAGUUAAAAGCGUCGUAAGACAGCUUGGUUUCUAUCUACAAUUUGAAGAAACAUUGAUAUAACUAUUUUCUAGUACGAAAGGAUCGAAAAAUUAGUGGUUCUCUUAUUUUUAUAAGUUACAAUCAAUUGAUUGGCCCGGAUACUUUUUGAGGGGGUCUUUUGGUUACUUGCUGAUUGCUUCUAAAGCAUGAAAAUUAUAUCAAGUUGUUUGAAACCCGGAAAAGGGACUGUU
Molecule: ribosomal RNA, 2299 nt
Filed under: Pavona clavus
Lineage: Eukaryota; Metazoa; Cnidaria; Anthozoa; Scleractinia; Agariciidae
Description: large subunit ribosomal RNA
Rfam family: Bacterial large subunit ribosomal RNA
Source: RNAcentral